GGAUUGUGGCUCAGUGGUACAGCACUUGCCUCGCAUGCAUGAGGCCCUGGGUUUAAUCCUCAGCACCA
RNAcentral lists this transfer RNA (68 nucleotides) under Marmota monax (woodchuck). RNAcentral's name for it is "tRNA.Ala". The stretch from base 5 to 65 matches the Rfam family "tRNA", at positions 6 to 65 of the family's 71-position model. From Rfam's summary of the family: Transfer RNA (tRNA) molecules are approximately 80 nucleotides in length. Their secondary structure includes four short double-helical elements and three loops (D, anti-codon, and T loops). Further hydrogen bonds mediate the characteristic L-shaped molecular structure. tRNAs have two regions of fundamental functional importance: the anti-codon, which is responsible for specific mRNA codon recognition, and the 3' end, to which the tRNAs corresponding amino acid is attached (by aminoacyl-tRNA synthetases). tRNAs cope with the degeneracy of the genetic code in two manners: having more than one tRNA (with a specific anti-codon) for a particular amino acid; and 'wobble' base-pairing, i.e. permitting non-standard base-pairing at the 3rd anti-codon position. Lineage: Eukaryota; Metazoa; Chordata; Mammalia; Rodentia; Sciuridae. The record is from RNAcentral.